RNAcentral lists this ribosomal RNA (373 nucleotides) under uncultured bacterium. RNAcentral's name for it is "bacterial SSU rRNA". It matches the Rfam family "Bacterial small subunit ribosomal RNA", at positions 28 to 404 of the family's 1533-position model. The record is from RNAcentral.
GACGAACGCUGGCGGCGUGCUUAACACAUGCAAGUCGAACGGUAAGGCCCUUCGGGUACGACGAGUGGCGAACGGGUGGAGUAACACGUGGGUGAUCUGCCCUGCACUUCGGGAUAAGCCUGGGAAACUGGGUCUAAUACCGGAUAGGACUCCUGGCUUCAUGGUUGGGGGUGUAAAGCUUUUGCGGUGUGGGAUGGGCCCGCGGCCUAUCAGCUUGUUGGUGGGGUAAUGGCCUACCAAGGCGACGACGGGUAGCCGGCCUGAGAGGGUGACCGGCCACACUGGGACUGAGAUACGGCCCAGACUCCUACGGGAGGCAGCAGUGGGGAAUAUUGCACAAUGGGCGCAAGCCUGAUGCAGCGACGCCGCGUGA